This 120-nucleotide ribosomal RNA is filed under the name Petromyzon marinus (sea lamprey). Lineage: Eukaryota; Metazoa; Chordata; Hyperoartia; Petromyzontiformes; Petromyzontidae. The record is from RNAcentral.
GCCUAUAACCAUAUAAAAAGAAAUAUGGCUGAUCUCAUCAGAUCUCCGAAGCUAAGCAGGUUAGAGCCUGGAUAGCGCUUGGAUGGGGAACUACCGUGCAUGAAGCUGGUGCUAGAGGCU